AGUCCCAUUCUUUUCUACAAUUCCCGUUCUUUUCCUUCCUUCCCCGUUCUGCAGUAAGAAAUUUUCGUUCCUUCCCUUCUGAAAAAUUCCAUUCCUUCCCUUCUGCAAAAAUUCCGUUUCUGUUCUACAAGUUCCGUUUGGUGUGAGGUUUUUUCCUAUAUUUUAUUUACAUGCAUCAAUAUUAUAACUUGUAGUUUUCAUGCAUCAUUAAUGUAAGUUCAGUGCAUAAACAUUGAAAUUGGUUCGAUGUGUUCUUAAUUUUGAAGUGCUUCUAAUUAAGAACUGGAAAUCCGUUUUAUCUUGGGAAGCAAUUAUUCAAUUAAUCCUUAGCACCUGUGAGGGAAUAAAUUUACUUUAAGGAGACUUUGUGAAUUUAAAGGAGUCGGAUUUAUUCAUUAAUAUUUUCUAUGUUAUAUAUAUAUAAAAUUAUGUUCUGUUUUAUUAUAUUUAUAUAUAUAUUAAAUAAUACUAUAUAUUAUAGAUAACAAUCUUAAAGC
Molecule: long non-coding RNA, 497 nt
Filed under: Panax ginseng (ginseng)
Lineage: Eukaryota; Viridiplantae; Streptophyta; Magnoliopsida; Apiales; Araliaceae
Description: long non-coding RNA (PGIN_LNC011931)
Source: RNAcentral